AGGGAAAGUUGCGCAGUAAUGCGAAAUAAAGGAAAUUUAUAUAUAAAUCGCACGUUAUUUUUGUAUUUAUGGUACGCGUGUGUAAAACUCAAAAUGUGCAUAAUUUCAGUUUUACGUAGGUACGAACGAAAAUUUCUAUGAAUUGCGAACGCGUGGCUCGGUGCAAAGUUCUGUUUGUUUUGCGAACGUUACACUGGUAAAUUGCAUUCGUCAUAUACGACUUAUUGAUCAACUGCGCAAUUUAUUAAGACUGUCGCCGUGUUUACAAACAAACCUUGUGAGCGGUUGAUAUUAAUUGAUACUCGUGCCCUUUUCUAAUUGAAUUUUCAUUUUUGCAUUUAGGUCACGCAUGUAACACUAAUCAUUGACCUUCCUAAUUUUUCUGUAGCUUUCCACGCGAGUUCUCCCAGGAGAUAAUCAAGUUACAUUUCCAUUUGUGGGCGUUAAUACCGUCAAGAGUUUAUAUACGGAGUCUUAUUACCUCUAGUGAGUGCAAAUGAUGUGACAACUUAGUUCUCAAGCCAUGGGAAAGUGUAAUUUUAGUCUUAAGAUAUGCGUUUCCGGUUUCCUUAUAUUACUGAAAAAUCUCAUUACUAUCUACCUACGUAUUAUUUGCCGGGAAGUAUUCUUAUUUAUGCAUUUCAAUCGACCAAUUCAAAAGUGAACUUUUUUUAAGUUCUGACUGAAGAGAUAUAUAAUAUCAUCGGUAGUUCUAGGGCUCCUGAUAAGUCAAAUAAGAUCAAAUGUUGCGAAAUAAAACCCCCAAUGGCCCCAACAGAGCUUGUCUUAAGACAUGCACGCACAUGCAACUAUAUGUGUGAUUUGAAGCCAGACAUAGCCGUAGAGACUUGCUUUAAGACAUGCACCAAAGAUUCUUCUAGUAAAGGCACAGACGGAGAUGAUUUCAAAAUAUUUUGAGGCAGAUGUUGAUGACGGAGUUACACAACAUUCAUGUGAGAGCACAGACGGACGUUGUUGCACGCCCGUUUAUUAAAGCAGGCCUUCCACGUGCAUUCAUUUCAUCGACGCUUUGAACUUGGAACACAAUGUUGAAACACACUUCCACGUUCGCACAUGCCAAAGGAUUUCAAACAAAAGAAAGAUAUCUGAAGAUGAGAAAAAAGAUAGGCACUACUGGAUGAAACCGUGGUACUUGAAAAGUUACGAAUUCACGCAUUUGUGAUUAUUAUUCUUCAGAUUAUGCCAAUUAUUUUUGAAUGGAUUCAAAUAUAUCCGAAUACGUACUGACUUUGAUAGAAAAGUGGAUUAAAAAAGAUUCGCUCACAAACUCUUGCCAGAUGUUGGGUCUGAGUGCAACUCUGCAAAAUAUAGACAAUGCAAACCAAAUUUAUUUAAAAAAUUAUUUAAGAUUAUAUAGUAUUCUUAUUCCUUGUUCCUUAACAUAAAGGAUCUCUGGAAAAUUAGCAACUGAAAGAAUCUGAAAAUAAGAGAUGGAAGAAGUCAAAAAGAAUCAAAAAUCUUUGGAAUCUGACCAACCAAAGAAAAGAAACGGUCUGAAUCGGGAAACAUUAGAAUAAGCGAGGGAAGUAUCCGAGGAACCCAAAAUAUUUGAAGAGUCUGGCGAAUCUGAAUAAAUUCACAGGUUUCCCAAUCUAUACAUACAGCCAUCAGAGACAUUGGAAAUGAUAACCGGUAUAACGGCAUAUUAUGUAAAACACAAACAACUCUUAUUCAAUCGGAUUUCCUCAGGCCACCCUUCUGAAUAAUAAUCAAAGGAGAUGUGCGAGAAUUUUAAUUAGAAUUAACAAAUCAAUUGAACACUAUUAAGUAAGUACCGAUCACGGUCGUGUACGGUACAAUCGUCACUUGAUGUCAGACCGUUGUCUUUUGGACUUGAACGAAACUCUUCAUUUUGUAUCCAUAUACGCAAACAUAAACCUUUCCAAUGUUAUAAAAAUAAUUUGGAAAUCCGAAGAAAUGUUCUGACAGUACCCUCAAAUCAGAAAGUCUCAGGACACGAGUUACCACGCAAUUUCAAAUUAGAUCAAAGAUGGAAAGUUUAUCGCAAAAGGUUUUUUCAUCGAAUGUAAAU
This is a long non-coding RNA of Photinus pyralis (common eastern firefly), 2053 nucleotides long. RefSeq lists it as uncharacterized. The record is from RefSeq and is a predicted model, not a curated record. NCBI's taxonomy places the organism in Eukaryota, Metazoa, Arthropoda, Insecta, Coleoptera, Lampyridae. The transcript has 3 exons.